Molecule: ribosomal RNA, 1234 nt
Filed under: metagenome
Description: bacterial LSU rRNA
Rfam family: Bacterial large subunit ribosomal RNA
Source: RNAcentral
UGAAUACGAGACGCUACGGCGUCGAAGCAGUCUAUGUCAUACUUCCAAGAAAAGCUCGCAAUGUCAUAAACAAAUAAUGCCUGUACCAUAACCGACACAGGUGGGUAGGUAGAGUAUACUAAGGGGCGCGAGAUAACUCUCUCUAAGGAACUCGGCAAAAUGACUCCGUAACUUCGGGAGAAGGAGUGCCUUAUUUAUAAGGUUGCAAUAACAAGAUCCAAGCAACUGUUUAUCAAAAACACAGGUCUCCGCUAAGUCGUAAGACGAUGUAUGGGGGCUGACGCCUGCCCAGUGCCAGAAGGUUAAAGAAGUUGGUUAGCAUUCGCGAAGCUGAUAACUGAAGCCCUGGUGAACGGCGGCCGUAACGAUAACGGUCCUAAGGUAGCGAAAUUCCUUGUCGGGUAAGUUCCGACCCGCACGAAAGGCGUAAUGAUUUGGAUACUGUCUCGGAGAGGGGCUCGGUGAAAUAGACUUGUCUGUGAAGAUGCGGACUACCUGCACCUGGACAGAAAGACCCUAUGAAGCUUUACUGUAACUUGAAAUUGAAAUUGGACUUUAUUUGCGCAGCAUAGGUGGGAGGCGUUGAGAGUAUUCUUGCGGGAAUAUUGGAGCCAUCAGUGAGAUACCACUCUUGUAAUGUUAGAUUUCUAACUUUGGAUCAUUAUCUGGUCAAAGAACGGUUUCAGGCGGGCAGUUUGACUGGGGCGGUCGCCUCCCAAAUGGUAACGGAGGCGUACAAAGGUUUCCUCUGAACGGGUAGAAAUCGUAUCUAGAGUGUAAAGGCAUAAGGAAGCUUGACUGUGAGACCUACAAGUCGAGCAGGGACGAAAGUCGGUCUUAGUGAUCUGACGGUGCUGAGUGGAAAGGCCGUCACUCAACGGAUAAAAGUUACUCUAGGAUAACAGGCUGAUCUCCCCCAAGAGUUCACAUCGACGGGGAGGUUUGGCACCUCGAUGUCGGCUCAUCGCAUCCUGGGGCGGUAGUACGUCCCAAGGGUUGGGCUGUUCGCCCAUGAAAGCGGUACGCGAGCUGGGUUCAGAACGUCGUGAGACAGUUCGGUCCAUAUCCGGUGUAGGCGUUAGAAUAUUGAGAGGAGCCUUCUUUAGUACGAGAGGACCGAGAAGGACAUACCUCUGGUGUACCAGUUAUCGUGCCAACGGUAAACGCUGGGUAGCUAUGUAUGGAGAGGAUAACCGCUGAAAGCAUCUAAGUGGGAAGCCCACCUCAAGAUAAG